GGUAAUAGCUCAGUGGUAGAGCGCCUGCUUAGAGAGAAUGAGGUCCUGGGUUCAAUCCCCAGUACUGCCA
Molecule: transfer RNA, 70 nt
Filed under: Camelus dromedarius (Arabian camel)
Lineage: Eukaryota; Metazoa; Chordata; Mammalia; Artiodactyla; Camelidae
Also listed under: 1 other name
Rfam family: tRNA
About the family: Transfer RNA (tRNA) molecules are approximately 80 nucleotides in length. Their secondary structure includes four short double-helical elements and three loops (D, anti-codon, and T loops).
Source: Rfam by way of RNAcentral